Molecule: ribosomal RNA, 305 nt
Filed under: uncultured bacterium
Lineage: Bacteria
Description: partial 16S ribosomal RNA
Rfam family: Bacterial small subunit ribosomal RNA
Source: RNAcentral
ACAGCAGCAGCCGCGGUAAUACGAAGGGGGCUAGCGUUGCUCGGAAUUACUGGGCGUAAAGGGUGCGUAGGCGGACAGUUCAGUCGGGGGUGAAAGCCCGGGGCUCAACCUCGGAAUUGCCUUCGAUACUGGCUGUCUUGAGUAUGAGAGAGGUGUGUGGAACUCCGAGUGUAGAGGUGAAAUUCGUAGAUAUUCGGAAGAACACCAGUGGCGAAGGCGACACACUGGCUCAUUACUGACGCUGAGGCGCGAAAGCGUGGGGAGCAAACAGGAUUAGAUACCCCGGUAGUCCCUGUCUCUUAUAC